AUCACCGGCAAGAGUGAGGAGUAUUGGCAGCAGCACGCAGGCGGGCAGGCUGGGAGUUUGCAUGGAAAUCAUGAAGUCUUGUCUUUCUCUUUUCAAAUGUUUUGGAAGGAGAGUUAAGAAUAGCUCAGAAACCAAACCGGUCUCGCUCUUUUUUGUGGGAAGAAUGACCUGCAGCAUAAAAGCUAAAUCUUGCAGCAAGUGCAAGACACUUCUUUCGGGUGUUUGCAGGCAACCUAACAGAAUGAAUGGUUGUCUGUAAAGGACUGUGCCAUGACACCCAAAAUGAAGGGACUGGUAAAGCAAAGUAAUGACUCAAAGGCUGCCACGGAGCUUUUGUCUACUUUUAACUCAUUGUGGCAAAGUUGGACAUUCCAAAGAUGGCGUAGAUGAACAUGACCAGGAAGAGCAGGAGGCCGAUGUUGAACAGCGCAGGCAGGGACAUCAUCAAAGCAAAUAGCAACGUGCGGAUCCCCUUGGCCCCUUUGAUCAGGCGCAGGAUGCGGCCAAUCCUGGCAAGACGGAUCACUCGGAACAGGACAGUGCUAACAGCCUACAUCUGCUGAGGAAAUGAGGGCACUGGUGGCAUCUCUCUUGUUUCCAACUGGCAUAAAGCAACGAGCAGGCACUUAGGAAAUGUGAGUUGAAAAAAUGAAUAGCCACGGUUUAUAGACUAUAUACCCCCAUCAAUUCCUUUGCCAUUUUUUUCUUCUACAAUGAUCACAGUGAAUGAGAAGUGUAUAGGGACUUUGCUUCCUUUAGGAACAUAUACUUUGUAUAACUGUGUUUGCAGUGUUUUAAGUGACACUCUCUUGAAAGGUGGAAGUUUCUGUAAAAUUUGAAGGUUUCAUUGAUCUCCUUUCUCCAAGGGCCUCUGCUAGCUCCAUAACAACUUGGAGACAAUGUUUCUAAACACUCAAGAACUACUGAGUAAAGCUAAGUAUCUGCAUUUGGCUGCAGGAGGAAUGAAUGGGGGAUCUUUCUGUGAGGAAAAGUUUAGACAGGAUGUUUUCCCCUCUGCUGAGUACACAAGAUGAGCAAGUUCACUGAUAACAGAUACAUUCGUCAAAAGAGCAGUAAGAAGAUUUGGGGUAUUAGAUUAAUAGCAGCCUCUGUGAAAGCUGUCAGAGUUUACUCCAAUAUCACAUGAGCAAUGUCAAUGCAGCGGCUUCGGGCAUUGCUAAAGCUCAGGCUUGAUCCCUGGCCAGGUUAACUGCACAUGGCCAUGAGCACAGCCAGGAAAAAA
Molecule: long non-coding RNA, 1243 nt
Organism: Phacochoerus africanus (Common warthog)
Lineage: Eukaryota; Metazoa; Chordata; Mammalia; Artiodactyla; Suidae
Exons: 3
Source: RefSeq, a predicted model, not a curated record